This 261-nucleotide long non-coding RNA is filed under the name Lathyrus oleraceus (garden pea). Its description in RNAcentral is "Pisum sativum (pea) long non-coding RNA (PSAT_LNC010909)". Lineage: Eukaryota; Viridiplantae; Streptophyta; Magnoliopsida; Fabales; Fabaceae. The record is from RNAcentral.
GAGCGUAUAGGUCCUGAAAGCGACAUGGAACCGAGGUAAUAUAGUUAUAAGUGAGCGUCAAUUUUUUUCAAAAAAUAAAAAAUAAACAUAUUACCUCAGUAUUUUAGAAAACCGAGGGAAUAUAGCUAUUAGGGAACAUGUUUUGAAUCCCUGUAACUGCAUUUAGGUUUUUUUCAAUGAUUUCUCACUUGACGCCUUCCAAUCUUUCCUUUUUUUCUUAGUUAAUUUUUUUUCUUUUUUUUAUUAAUUAGUAAUUCUAAA